Molecule: ribosomal RNA, 96 nt
Filed under: Clostridiales bacterium
Lineage: Bacteria; Bacillati; Bacillota; Clostridia; Eubacteriales
Source: RNAcentral
GUUACACCCGUUCCCAUCCCGAACACGAAGGUUAAGCCUCACAGCGCCGAUGGUACUGCUCGGGAGACCGAGUGGAAGAGUAGGUCGUUGCCAGGU